GGGGCUGAUUCUGGAUUCGACGGGAUUCGCGAAACCCAAGGUGCAUGCCGAGGGGCGGUUGGCCUCGUAAAAAGCCGCAAAAAAAUAGUCGCUCAAACCCAAAAGAGAUCGCGCGGAUGCCCUGCCUGGGGUUGAAGUGCUAAAACUAAUCAGGCUAGUUCGUUAGUGGCGUGUCUGUCCGCAGCUGGCGUGCGAAUGUAAAGACAAACUAAGCAUGUAGUACCGAGGAUGUAGGAAUUUCGGACGCGGGUUCAACUCCCGCCAGCUCCACCA
Molecule: transfer-messenger RNA, 273 nt
Filed under: Klebsiella aerogenes
Lineage: Bacteria; Pseudomonadati; Pseudomonadota; Gammaproteobacteria; Enterobacterales; Enterobacteriaceae
Rfam family: transfer-messenger RNA
About the family: Bacterial tmRNA, also known as 10Sa RNA or SsrA, is named for its dual tRNA and mRNA-like properties. Its role is to liberate the mRNA from a stalled ribosome.
Source: RNAcentral